RNAcentral lists this long non-coding RNA (979 nucleotides) under Equus caballus (horse). RNAcentral's name for it is "lncRNA (ENSECAG00000059952.1)". The record is from RNAcentral. Lineage: Eukaryota; Metazoa; Chordata; Mammalia; Perissodactyla; Equidae.
CAGAGAUUCAAGUCUAGCGGUGCCCAGGAGGCUGCAAUGUAGGUACUAGGUCUGAGGGAGCGAGUUGUAUCCUAUUUAUGAGCUAGACUGGGAGUCAUGAGUGUCAUUUCUGGCACAGUCAGAGGCCCACCCGAUCCUAAGGAAGGGAACCUAGCACCCAUCUCUUGGUGAAAGAAAUGCUAAUGGCACAUUGUAGGAAGAGCUUGUGAAAUGGGGGAAUUUGUUGCAGCCUUAAAAUUUGCCAUAAUAUUAGUAAUUAUUUUCCAUGGAAAUGGACUAAACAUUUUGUCUCAUGUCUGGUUCCCCAGGAAAUUUUACAUAAAAAUCAAGGAACACUUAAUAAACAUUUGUCUUGUUUGAGACAUUGAUUUCAUCCCUACAGUUCAAAGAGUUCACUGAGAGAGGCAGAAAGUAAGAGAAGGAAUGGAACUUUUUCUCCUCCAUGGUCCAGUGUUCCCUUGUGAGGGGCCCCAAUAGUCCACACUCAACAUGUGGGAGAGCCCAUGGGUCUUCAUCUAAAUUGACAAGUGCUGCACUUUGAUCUCCUCGUCUUCCAGAAGCUUCAUAAAUUAGACUCCUGUGUUUCAAGAUGAAACUAUGCCAUCAGCCAGUCAUGUGAAUGCAAGAUUGACAUGUAGCAGUUUCGGCAUGGAAGGACCACACGGACAGUGAUGAUAACUUUACUUGUGGUCCACGCAGAAAAUGAAUAAUCUUAAUGUAGCUCAUUAGAAGUUUGAAUAAACACAAGUUUAGUGCAUUCUGAAAACACAGCAAGACACACUAUCAGCAAGAAUUAAAUGGGCUUGGAAGUGGGGGGUAAUGUGAAGACUUUCCUGAACUGUUUUGAAGAGUAUUGGCCAGGUAUUUUGUGGAAUAUUCUUCCAUUUACAUUUAUCUGAUGAUUUCUCAUGCUAGAUUGGGGCUACGGGUUUUGGGGAAUAAUGCCAAAAGGUGAAGUACCCUUUUUGUUUCAUUAUAG